AACCUAGCACACCUGCGGUGUGUACCUGCGGAGGGAUCAUUACCGAGUUUACAACUCCCAAACCCCUGUGAACAUACCUAUAAUUUGCCUCGGCGGACUCAACGACGGUGCUCCGAGAAAUCGGGCGCCGCUCGCUGCCAGAGGAACCCCAAACUCUAUGUAUUCUUGUGGAUCUUCUGAGUAAAACAAAACAAAUAAAUCAAAACUUUUAGCAACGGAUCUCAGAUCGGAAGAGCACAC
This 240-nucleotide unclassified non-coding RNA is filed under the name soil metagenome. RNAcentral describes it as "partial contains 5.8S ribosomal RNA, internal transcribed spacer 2, and large subunit ribosomal RNA". The record is from RNAcentral.